UACAGAGGGUGCGAGCGUUAAUCGGAAUUACUGGGCGUAAAGCGCGCGUAGGCGGCUUUUCAAGUCGAUUGUGAAAUCCCCGGGCUUAACCUGGGAACUGCAGUCGAGACUGUCUAGCUAGAGUAUGGGAGAGGGAAGUGGAAUUUCAGGUGUAGCGGUGAAAUGCGUAGAUAUCAGGAGGAACACCGGUGGCGAAGGCGGAUCUCUGGGCCUUACCUGACGCUCAGGUGCGAAAGCUAGGGGAGCGAACAGG
RNAcentral lists this ribosomal RNA (253 nucleotides) under uncultured bacterium. RNAcentral describes it as "partial 16S ribosomal RNA". It matches the Rfam family "Bacterial small subunit ribosomal RNA", at positions 524 to 776 of the family's 1533-position model. The record is from RNAcentral.